GAUCUCUCCUCCUAAAUUUUUGUUUGAUUUCUUCAAUCAAAAGCUCUCUACGACAAACUGCAAAUUCUUCUCCAGAAUCUGCGGCGGAUUCCCUUAUCGGGUAUUCGAUUCCAAAUCGAGACUCCUUCAUGACUCAACAAUUGUUAUAACUAUCUUCUUCUCUGUCUCUACCCACCUCAAGCUCCCUGUUAUCUCGGUGAGCACUUAACAUUUGAAGACGCUGAAUACGUUGUGGAAUUGUUCCAUCAAAUCUCAUGCUCUGAGGAUCUUCAGAAUAAGCUACAUAGUAAGCCAAUACACAUGCCUGUAGCCACGCCAAACCUACCCUUCCCUGAAAACACUCAAAACCAGUUAAUGAAGAGACAGCUCCAACAGAAACAGCACUGAGAAAACAGAAGGAGCUAGUGAGAUCCGAGUCAAUCAGUUUCUCCAACCCUGUUGUGCUUCUGAACUUCUUCCAGGUAUCACUCGAAGCCUCCAUGAAUCCUUUAUCAUAGGUUCCAACAUGUACAAAGCCCCAUCUGUUUCCAAGUGUAAUGAGUUUGUUAGCAAUGGUAGAGAAGCAAUCAGCACCUGAAUACAUGACCUCAUCGCUGCUCCCUGACAUUAGAUUAACACUUCUUAUUGAUCCUCUUAUGAAUACGAUGAUUGGAACAAGCGUCGAGCCAACGCAGAUGCUCCCAGUCAAGUGUUUCAUAGUGAUGCGGAAAGCAUUCCAAGCGUCCAUAUCUUCUCCAUGUGCAAAGUUUACAUAUCUCGCCCGUGAAAUCGCAACUUGUUGAACAUUCUUGAUAACUUGCAUCGUCCAUGCUAAGCUUAUUAUGAUUACGGAUAUGAACAAGAUAUCAAGAUUUGUUCUAGUGGAAGUUGCUCCUCCAAUUCCAGUCACCAAGAAACCAGAGUAAACGACACUGACUAUGAUUGAUAAGCAGACUACUUCUCUGGUUCUUGCAGGUGGAAAUGCUGUGGCAAGUGAUAAUAUUUUAUCGGUGUACUCAAGCCUCGGAGUAAUCCAGCAACCAUAGAGGGACUGAGUAAUGGCGAAAAGGACAAACACUGCACCUAUACCUGCAUCUACCGCUGAGCCAAUCAAAACAAGCAAGAUUCCUACCGAGCAGGUGAGUAUUGGACUAAGCCAGAACGUUGCUUUGACUGCUCUUGAUGGAUUGUAGAUAAAGAUGCAUUGCCAUGCUAAAGAUGCAAUUCCUGAGACAGCAACAGAUGCUAGUAAAGGAGGGUACCAUUUCUUGAGGUGGAAAUGGUGUGUACUUGCUGAGAUGAGACCGCGAAUGGUGAGAACGAUCACCAAAAGUGAGAUUAAGGUUAGUUGUGAGAAGAGAAGACCCUUGAAAAGAGUUCUAAAGAGUUUUCCUGCUAUGGUUUGUUGUGUUGUUGGAGGUGGUCUACCUUGUUGUUCCUGCAAAAAAAAAAAAAAAAAAAAAAAUGGUGUCUCAUCAACAGGUUAUUCAAAGCUGGUUAAUGUGAAUUCGUUAUGAACAUGCAAGUAAAAAGCACCAUGAAGAAAACAAGAAGAGACAAAAGAGAAGCUGGGUCUUGGUUUUGUUCUUGAGUCAAGAAAUAGUGAUGGAAGUCAACGAGAGAGGAUCAAAACAGAUAGCAUAAAGUAGAAAGCAAAACAGAACCCAGAGAGAGAGAAGAUACAGAGAUCAAGGUGUUUCCUGAUUCUUGAUUCAAAAGAGAGAAAUACCUUGAAGGCGAUUGGAGAAGAAGAAGGAGGAAGAGGAGACAUUAUUCUUGGUUCUUGAAUCUGCACGCGAGAGGCAUGACCGUUGCUUGUUGGUGUAGGCAUAGAUGCGUUGUAUUUGCCAGGAGUGUUCCUUGAAUCCCAAGUUCCACUUAACCAUCUUCAUCAAUCAUCAUUCUUCUGUUGUAUAUAUAUAUGUAUAUAUACAUACAUCUUUGUCAAUAAGUUCUAUCAUUUUGUUGAUGUUUUAUUAAAUGCAUUUCGAAUAUUUAUUAUACAUACUUUAUUCCAUUACUUUGACU
This 2007-nucleotide long non-coding RNA is filed under the name Arabidopsis thaliana (thale cress). Its description in RNAcentral is "ncRNA (AT3G03702)". Lineage: Eukaryota; Viridiplantae; Streptophyta; Magnoliopsida; Brassicales; Brassicaceae. The record is from RNAcentral.